AGGUGGCAGAGAAGUUAAUGAUUAUGCACGAAGAAUGUUAGGAAGGUAAUUAUCAAUCUAUUGAGAAAUUGAGGACUACAAAUCCUCCACCAGUCGCUCAUGUCAAACCGUUUACCGAGGAUCAUGAG
Long non-coding RNA from Hibiscus syriacus, 128 nucleotides. RefSeq lists it as uncharacterized. The record is from RefSeq and is a predicted model, not a curated record. The transcript has 4 exons. NCBI's taxonomy places the organism in Eukaryota, Viridiplantae, Streptophyta, Magnoliopsida, Malvales, Malvaceae.